RNAcentral lists this ribosomal RNA (253 nucleotides) under uncultured bacterium. Its description in RNAcentral is "partial 16S ribosomal RNA". It matches the Rfam family "Bacterial small subunit ribosomal RNA", at positions 524 to 776 of the family's 1533-position model. The record is from RNAcentral.
UACGUAGGGUGCAAGCGUUGUCCGGAAUUAUUGGGCGUAAAGGGCUCGUAGGCGGUCCAUCACGUCGGGAGUGAAAAGCUGGGGCUUAACCCCAGUCCUGCUUCCGAUACGGGUGGACUAGAGGUAGGCAGGGGAGAACGGAAUUCCUGGUGUAGCGGUGAAAUGCGCAGAUAUCAGGAGGAACACCGGUGACGAAGGCGGUUCUCUGGGCCGAUACUGACGCUGAGGAGCGAAAGCGUGGGGAGCGAACAGG